CAAAACACCCUCCAGAUCCUUACUCUUGGGUACCCUGUCAUCACCAUCCAAAGGGUCUCCAUCAUCACCUCGAGAAAUAACUCGCCCAGCAAACAGAACCCCUUUUGGAUCAAGCACUUUAGCCAUCUCUGUUGCAUAUAACUUAUUUCCCAUUGUGUACAGAUGCAAUUCAUAGAGCUCACUGGCCUUUUCCAAGAAGUUCCAAACCCCAGGACGUAGUUUUG
This 224-nucleotide unclassified non-coding RNA is filed under the name Hevea brasiliensis (rubber tree). The record is from RNAcentral. Lineage: Eukaryota; Viridiplantae; Streptophyta; Magnoliopsida; Malpighiales; Euphorbiaceae.